GGGGAAUAUUGGACAAUGGGGGCAACCCUGAUCCAGCCAUGCCGCGUGUGUGAAGAAGGCCUUCGGGUUGUAAAGCACUUUAAGCGGGGAGGAAGGCCUGAUGGCUAAUAUCCAUCGGGAUUGACGUUACCCGCAGAAUAAGCACCGGCAAACUUCGUGCCAGCAGCCGCGGUAAUACGAAGGGUGCGAGCGUUAAUCGGAAUUACUGGGCGUAAAGCGCGCGUAGGUGGUUAAGUAAGCGAUCUGUGAAAGCCCCGGGCUUAACCUGGGAACUGCAGGUCGAACUGCUUGGCUAGAGUAUGGUAGAGGGGUGUGGAAUUUCCUGUGUAGCGGUGAAAUGCGUAGAUAUAGGAAGGAACAUCAGUGGCGAAGGCGACACCCUGGACCGAUACUGACACUGAGGCGCGAAAGCGUGGGUAGCGAAC
RNAcentral lists this ribosomal RNA (425 nucleotides) under uncultured bacterium. RNAcentral describes it as "bacterial SSU rRNA". It matches the Rfam family "Bacterial small subunit ribosomal RNA", at positions 356 to 773 of the family's 1533-position model. The record is from RNAcentral.